Molecule: non-coding RNA, 82 nt
Organism: Echinostoma caproni
Lineage: Eukaryota; Metazoa; Platyhelminthes; Trematoda; Plagiorchiida; Echinostomatidae
Source: Rfam
GGCCUCGUAGCUCAGCAGGUAGAGCAUGCGCGUACAAAGCGUAGGUGGCGUCCGUGCGUGGGUUCAAAUCCCAUUGAGCCUA